UGGUUGGGCACAUGCCCACACAAUUCUAGAAGAAUUUCUCUUAUGAGAACAAGAAACCCUUGGUUGUUUCAUUUGAUUUCUCUUCCUCGUCUUUCAAUUUCAGAUCCAUGUGCUCCUUAUCAGCCCCGCUAAUAGUUGAGAGUGCUUGCUUUUGUACGGAUACUUCAAGGUACAUUUGACGCGUCCGCAGACCUCGAAGUCCCCCUCUAUUCUCUCCUAUGUCAUUUACCUUCCGUACUUCUUUUGUUAGACUUUGGUGUAUAGAGAUACUAGUUUCCUUCUGUAGCUUGUGACUUACGAUGUUCUGGAUUUUGGGAAGACUGUGUAUUAGAUAGUAUUGGUUAUUGCACAUGCCGAGCGGUAUUGUUAUUAGUUAUUUAGUUAUCCACUGUUGUUAGUUGUCAAGUUUUA
Molecule: non-coding RNA, 411 nt
Organism: Nicotiana tabacum (common tobacco)
Lineage: Eukaryota; Viridiplantae; Streptophyta; Magnoliopsida; Solanales; Solanaceae
Source: RefSeq, a predicted model, not a curated record